Non-coding RNA from Danio rerio (zebrafish), 73 nucleotides. Lineage: Eukaryota; Metazoa; Chordata; Actinopteri; Cypriniformes; Danionidae. The record is from Rfam.
GCUCAGCUAGUUUAGUCGGUAGAGCAUGAGACUCUUAAUCUCAGGGUCGUGGGUUGGAGCCCCACGUUGGGUG